CCUUUUCAGUUCAUAAGCAUGAUGAUUGGAUUUUUCAAGCUGUUGUGGGAAGUGUGCCUCCCUCUAAAUCUUUCUGCAACAUCAGCACAGUAUCC
Molecule: small nucleolar RNA, 95 nt
Filed under: Marmota monax (woodchuck)
Lineage: Eukaryota; Metazoa; Chordata; Mammalia; Rodentia; Sciuridae
Rfam family: Small nucleolar RNA U13
Source: RNAcentral